RNAcentral lists this ribosomal RNA (399 nucleotides) under uncultured soil bacterium. RNAcentral's name for it is "bacterial SSU rRNA". It matches the Rfam family "Bacterial small subunit ribosomal RNA", at positions 975 to 1375 of the family's 1533-position model. The record is from RNAcentral.
CUGGGCUUGACAUGUGGGCGACCGGCGUGGAAACACGCCUUCCCUUCGGGGCGCCCUCACAGGUGGUGCAUGGCUGUCGUCAGCUCGUGUCGUGAGAUGUUGGGUUAAGUCCCGCAACGAGCGCAACCCCCGUCGCAUGUUGCCAGCAUUUAGUUGGGGACUCAUGCGAGACUGCCGGUGACAAACCGGAGGAAGGUGGGGAUGACGUCAAGUCCUCAUGCCCCUUAUGUCCAGGGCUACACACGUGCUACAUUGGCGCAUACAGAGGGUUGCAAUACCGCGAGGUGGAGCGAAUCCCUUAAAGUGCGUCUCGGUUCGGAUUGCAGGCUGAAAUUCGCCUGCAUGAAGGCGGAGUUGCUAGUAAUCGCGGAUCAGCAUUGCCGCGGUGAAUACGUUCCC